GACGAACGCUGGCGGCGUGCUUAACACAUGCAAGUCGAACGGAAAGGCCCUGCUUUUGUGGGGUGCUCGAGUGGCGAACGGGUGAGUAACACGUGAGUAACCUGCCCUUGACUUUGGGGUAACUUCAGGAAACUGGGGCUAAUACCGGAUAGGAGCUCCUGCUGCAUGGUGGGGGUUGGGAGGUUUCGGCGGUUGGGGAUGGACUCGCGGCUUAUCAGCUUGUUGGUGGGGUAGUGGCUUACCAAGGCUUUGACGGGUAGCCGGCCUGAGAGGGGGACGGGCCACAGUGGGGAUGAGAUACGGACCAGACUCCGACGGGAGGCAGCAGUGGGGAAUAUUGCACAAUGGGCGGAAGCCUGAUGCAGCAACGCCGCGUGCGGGAUGACGGCCUUCGGGUUGUAAACCGAUUUCGCCUGUGACGAAGCGUGAGUGACGGUAAUGGGUAAAGAAGCACCGGCUAACUACGUG
Molecule: ribosomal RNA, 468 nt
Filed under: uncultured bacterium
Lineage: Bacteria
Description: partial 16S ribosomal RNA
Rfam family: Bacterial small subunit ribosomal RNA
Source: RNAcentral